Long non-coding RNA from Lynx canadensis (Canada lynx), 104 nucleotides. RefSeq lists it as uncharacterized. The record is from RefSeq and is a predicted model, not a curated record. NCBI's taxonomy places the organism in Eukaryota, Metazoa, Chordata, Mammalia, Carnivora, Felidae. The transcript is spliced from 3 exons.
CAGAGACCCAGUAAAAAAACAAAACUACAGGCCAAUCUCCCUGAUGAGUACAGUUGCAAAAAUUCUCAAAAAAUAUUAGCAAAGAAAAUUCAACAUAACAUUAA